AGAGUUUGAUCCUGGCUCAGGAUUAACGCUAGCGGCAGGCCUAAUACAUGCAAGUCGAACGGCAGCACGGGUAGCAAUACCUGGUGGCGAGUGGCGCACGGGUGCGUAACACGUAUGCAAUCUACCUUUAACUGGGGAAUAACCCUUCGAAAGAAGGGCUAAUACCGCAUAAUACUUCGGGAGGGCAUCCCCCUGAAGUUAAACCUCCGGGAGUUAAAGAUGAGCAUGCGCUCGAUUAGCUAGUUGGUGAGGUAACGGCUCACCAAGGCAACGAUCGAUAGGGGGUCUGAGAGGAUGAUCCCCCACACUGGUACUGAGACACGGACCAGACUCCUACGGGAGGCAGCAGUAAGGAAUAUUGGACAAUGGGCGCAAGCCUGAUCCAGCCAUGCCGCGUGCAGGAUGACGGCGCUCAGCGUUGUAAACUGCUUUUGUUUGGGAAAAAACCCCUGCAUUCUGCGGGGCUGAUGGUACCAAAAGAAUAAGGGACGGCUAACUUCGUGCCAGCAGCCGCGGUA
This 518-nucleotide ribosomal RNA is filed under the name uncultured Bacteroidota bacterium. RNAcentral describes it as "bacterial SSU rRNA". It matches the Rfam family "Bacterial small subunit ribosomal RNA", at positions 8 to 522 of the family's 1533-position model. The record is from RNAcentral. Lineage: Bacteria; Pseudomonadati; Bacteroidota.